GAUGAAGAACGCAGCGAAAUGCGAUAAGUAAUGUGAAUUGCAGAAUUCAGUGAAUCAUCGAAUCUUUGAACGCACAUUGCGCCCCUUGGUAUUCCGAGGGGCAUGCCUGUUCGAGCGUCAUUAUAACCCCUCAAGCUCAGCUUGGUGUUGGGGCCUGCUGCACUGGCAGCCCUUAAAAUCAGUGGCGGCGCCAUCUGGCUCUAAGCGUAGUAAUUCUUCUCGCUAUGGAGUCCUGGUGGAUGCUUGCCAUCAACCCCCAAUUUUUCUAUGGUUGACCUCGAAUCAGGCAGGGAUACCCGCUGAACUUAAGCAUAUCAAUAAGCGGAGGA
Molecule: unclassified non-coding RNA, 329 nt
Filed under: soil metagenome
Description: partial contains 5.8S ribosomal RNA, internal transcribed spacer 2, and large subunit ribosomal RNA
Rfam family: 5.8S ribosomal RNA (bases 1-120)
Source: RNAcentral